The sequence is a small RNA, 145 nucleotides long. It matches the Rfam family "Alphaproteobacterial sRNA ar35". The record is from Rfam.
AUAGGCAUUGCUUAAGAGCGCUGGAACGCGUCUGUCGCUCGCAAUAGCCUUCAUCGCUUGAUGCUUUUGACCACGGAUGUACUGGCACUGGUAGGAAAGCGAUGAUCAGGAAGGUCGGUGCGUUUUCGCCCCGGCCUUUUUUGUU